RNAcentral lists this ribosomal RNA (459 nucleotides) under uncultured bacterium. RNAcentral describes it as "SSU rRNA". It matches the Rfam family "Bacterial small subunit ribosomal RNA", at positions 26 to 518 of the family's 1533-position model. The record is from RNAcentral.
AGAAUCAACGCUGGCGGCGUGCCUAACACAUGCAAGUCGCACGAGAAAGGGACUUCGGUCUUGAGUAAAGUGGCGCACGGGUGAGUAACACGUGACUAAUCUGCCCUCGAGUGGGGAAUAACUGAGAGAAAUCUUAGCUAAUACCGCAUAACACUUACGAGUCAAAGCAGCAAUGCGCUUGGGGAGGAGGUCGCGGCCGAUUAGCUAGUUGGCGGGGUAAUGGCCCACCAAGGCGAUGAUCGGUAUCCGGCCUGAGAGGGCGCACGGACACACUGGAACUGAAACACGGUCCAGACUCCUACGGAGGCAGCAGUGGGGAAUUUUGCGCAAUGGGGGAAACCCUGACGCAGCAACGCCGCGUGGAGGAUGAAGUAUCUUGGUACGUAAACUCCUUUCGAUGGGGAAGAUAAUGACGGUACCCAUAGAAGAAGCCCCGGCUAACUUCGCGCCAGCAGCCGC